This 948-nucleotide ribosomal RNA is filed under the name Bacteroides thetaiotaomicron. RNAcentral describes it as "bacterial SSU rRNA". It matches the Rfam family "Bacterial small subunit ribosomal RNA", at positions 65 to 1010 of the family's 1533-position model. Lineage: Bacteria; Pseudomonadati; Bacteroidota; Bacteroidia; Bacteroidales; Bacteroidaceae. The record is from RNAcentral. RNAcentral also lists the same sequence under 1 other name.
AGCAUUUCAGUUUGCUUGCAAACUGGAGAUGGCGACCGGCGCACGGGUGAGUAACACGUAUCCAACCUGCCGAUAACUCGGGGAUAGCCUUUCGAAAGAAAGAUUAAUACCCGAUGGUAUAAUGAAACCGCAUGGUCUUAUUAUUAAAGAAUUUCGGUUAUCGAUGGGGAUGCGUUCCAUUAGGCAGUUGGUGAGGUAACGGCUCACCAAACCUUCGAUGGAUAGGGGUUCUGAGAGGAAGGUCCCCCACAUUGGAACUGAGACACGGUCCAAACUCCUACGGGAGGCAGCAGUGAGGAAUAUUGGUCAAUGGGCGCAGGCCUGAACCAGCCAAGUAGCGUGAAGGAUGACUGCCCUAUGGGUUGUAAACUUCUUUUAUAUGGGAAUAAAGUUUUCCACGUGUGGAAUUUUGUAUGUACCAUAUGAAUAAGGAUCGGCUAACUCCGUGCCAGCAGCCGCGGUAAUACGGAGGAUCCGAGCGUUAUCCGGAUUUAUUGGGUUUAAAGGGAGCGUAGGUGGACAGUUAAGUCAGUUGUGAAAGUUUGCGGCUCAACCGUAAAAUUGCAGUUGAUACUGGCUGUCUUGAGUACAGUAGAGGUGGGCGGAAUUCGUGGUGUAGCGGUGAAAUGCUUAGAUAUCACGAAGAACUCCGAUUGCGAAGGCAGCUCACUGGACUGCAACUGACACUGAUGCUCGAAAGUGUGGGUAUCAAACAGGAUUAGAUACCCUGGUAGUCCACACAGUNNCGAUGAAUACUCGCUGUUUGCGAUAUACAGUAAGCGGCCAAGCGAAAGCAUUAAGUAUUCCACCUGGGGAGUACGCCGGCAACGGUGAAACUCAAAGGAAUUGACGGGGGCCCGCACAAGCGGAGGAACAUGUGGUUUAAUUCGAUGAUACGCGAGGAACCUUACCCGGGCUUAAAUUGCAUUUGAAUAUNNNUGNAACAGU